AGUGAACGCUGGCGGUAGGCCUAACACAUGCAAGUCGAACGGCAGCACAGUAAGAGCUUGCUCUUACGGGUGGCGAGUGGCGGACGGGUGAGGAAUACAUCGGAAUCUACUUUUUCGUGGGGGAUAACGUAGGGAAACUUACGCUAAUACCGCAUACGACCUACGGGUGAAAGCAGGGGAUCUUCGGACCUUGCGCGAUUGAAUGAGCCGAUGUCGGAUUAGCUAGUUGGCGGGGUAAAGGCCCACCAAGGCGACGAUCCGUAGCUGGUCUGAGAGGAUGGUCAUACGAACGGGAACUGUGACAAGGUUCAGACUCUGACGGGAAGCAGCAGCGGGGAAUAUUGGACAAGGGGCGCAAGCCUGAUCCAGCAAUACCGCGUGGGUGAAGAAGGCCGUCGAGUUGUAAAGCCCUUUUGUUGGGAAAGAAAAGCAGCAGGUUAAUACCCCGCUGUUUUGACGGUACCCGAAGAAUAAGCACCGGCUAAGUUCGUG
This 492-nucleotide ribosomal RNA is filed under the name uncultured bacterium. RNAcentral's name for it is "partial 16S ribosomal RNA". It matches the Rfam family "Bacterial small subunit ribosomal RNA", at positions 29 to 507 of the family's 1533-position model. The record is from RNAcentral.